RNAcentral lists this ribosomal RNA (253 nucleotides) under uncultured bacterium. RNAcentral's name for it is "partial 16S ribosomal RNA". It matches the Rfam family "Bacterial small subunit ribosomal RNA", at positions 524 to 776 of the family's 1533-position model. The record is from RNAcentral.
UACAGAGGGGGCAAGCGUUGUUCGGAAUUACUGGGCGUAAAGCGUGCGCAGGCGGUUUUGUAAGUCAGAUGUGAAAUCCCCGGGCUUAACCUGGGAACUGCGUUUGAAACUACAAGGCUAGAGUGUGGCAGAGGGGGGUGGAAUUCCACGUGUAGCAGUGAAAUGCGUAGAGAUGUGGAGGAACACCGAUGGCGAAGGCAGCCCCCUGGGCUAACACUGACGCUCAUGCACGAAAGCGUGGGGAGCAAACAGG